ACGUAGGGAGCAAGCGUUGUUCGGAAUCAUUGGGCGUAAAGAGCGCGUAGGUGGUUUGUUAAGUCUGGUGUGAAAGCCCAGAGCUCAACUCUGGAACUGCAUCAGAAACUGACAAACUUGAGUGUGGGAGAGGAGAGUGGAAUUCCCAGUGUAGAGGUGAAAUUCGUAGAUAUUGGGAGGAACACCGGUGGCGAAGGCGGCUCUCUGGACCACAACUGACACUGAGGCGCGAAAGCUAGGGGAGCGAACGGG
Molecule: ribosomal RNA, 252 nt
Filed under: uncultured bacterium
Lineage: Bacteria
Description: partial 16S ribosomal RNA
Rfam family: Bacterial small subunit ribosomal RNA
Source: RNAcentral